RNAcentral lists this ribosomal RNA (409 nucleotides) under Microhyla mukhlesuri. RNAcentral's name for it is "partial large subunit ribosomal RNA". It matches the Rfam family "Bacterial large subunit ribosomal RNA", at positions 1834 to 2459 of the family's 2925-position model. The record is from RNAcentral. Lineage: Eukaryota; Metazoa; Chordata; Amphibia; Anura; Microhylidae.
CCUGAUCACCCAUAGGAGGUCCAGCCUGCCCAGUGACUAAGUUAAACGGCCGCGGUACCCUAACCGUGCAAAGGUAGCGCAAUCACUUGUUCUUUAAAUGAGGACUAGUAUGAACGGCAUCACGAGGGUUAUGCUGUCUCCCUACUCUACUCAGUGAAACUGAUCUCCCCGUGAAGAAGCGGGGAUAAAAAUAUAAGACGAGAAGACCCCAUGGAGCUUUAAACUCAGUACCAACUGCCCAAAUAAUAGCCUAUUACCCCUGCAGCUAUGGUUACUAGUUUUCGGUUGGGGUGACCACGGAGUAAAAUUUAACCUCCACGAUGAAAGGAACUAAUAUUCUAACCCAUGAGCUACAGCUCUAAGUAUCAACAAAUUGACUAAUUGACCCAAUUACUUGAUCAACGAACCA